CCCUAUUCACCCCUGCCAACCCUAUUCACCCCGGUUGACGGUGUGUAAUUAAAUGCAAUCAGCCACAGACGAUUUUGUAACGGACUUGCGAAGGCAGUGAAGUCGAGUCACAUGGACUUAAAUAUGCAAUGAACGUUCAAGAAGGGCAUUGGUUAAUAUUAGAUAGAGCAAAGUUAUAUCUAUCGACACCUAUGUCUGGCUAUAUAAUUAUAAAGUACACAUAGUUUUGAGUAUAACUUGUUUAUGUCGUUAUAAGCCAUUCCAAAUUGGCCGUUUUUGUAUUGUACAUAUUUAUUUUAGUGCUUAGAUAUAGAUUAUUGUGUCCCUAAUAUUGGGUUAUUUUCAUUUAGCAAUCAAAGGUACUGUUUCGGUUUGUACAGCUGGCACCAAUCCAUACUAAUAUUAUAAAUGCGAAAGUCUGUCUGUCUGUCUGUCUGUCUGUGUGUUCCCUUUUCACGCCUAAACCGCUGAAUCGAUUUAGAUUAAAUUUGGCAUAGAGAUAGGUGGAGUCCCUGGGAAGGACAUAGGAUAGUUUUUAUCCCGAAAAUCAUCCCUUAAGAAAGUAAAAAGCGGGGUGGAAUUGAGAUAAUUAAUGAAGUGUCUGCUAAUUUGUGUGCAUAAUAUGCUCAAAUUGAAUAAUUGCUAUAAGACUUUCUCCAGGCGCUAUUCUUACUCUUGCUGUGGUUAUUAAGUCCACGCAGACGAAGUCGCGGGCAAAAGCUAGUUAUAAAUAAAAACAAAACUUUUACUAUCUAUAUAAUAUGGUAUUCACUGUACAACCUCUAAACGUCACCGUUAUAAGAACUUAUAAAAAUACACCAAAAUAGAUUGAGAUACCUACGCUAUUUGUUAAAAUAACCCAGAAGUAUGCGUUUACUAAAUCGAUCUAGUAAUAUUUUGGGGGCCUAUUCUCAAUAUACCUAGACUCCUAGACUAAACGGUUUGAAACGAUCGAAUAACGAUCUACCUUUUGUUAUUAUUGUAAAUAUUAUCGUUUCGUUAUCUAAUAAAUUUUAUAUUUUAUUUGUUU
Cydia strobilella is the source of this 1030-nucleotide long non-coding RNA. RefSeq lists it as uncharacterized. The record is from RefSeq and is a predicted model, not a curated record. The transcript is spliced from 2 exons. Lineage: Eukaryota; Metazoa; Arthropoda; Insecta; Lepidoptera; Tortricidae.